CAGAGGGUGCAAGCGUUAAUCGGAUUUACUGGGCGUAAAGCGUGUGUAGGUGGUUGGGAAAGUCAAUUGUGAAAGCCCCGGGCUUAACUCGGGAACUGCUUUUGAUACUGUCUGACUAGAAUUCGGUAGAGGGAGGCGGAACUCCAGGUGUAGCGGUGAAAUGCGUAGAUAUCUGGAAGAACACCAAUGGCGAAGGCAACCUCCUGGGCCUGAAUUGACACUGAGACAUGAAAGCGUGGGGAUCAAACAGGAUUAGAUACCCUGGUAGUCCACGCCGUAAACGAUGACAACUUGACGUCGGUUUGCUCUGCGAAUCGGUGUCGUAGCUAACGCGAUAAGUUGUCCGCCUGGGGAGUACGGCCGCAAGGUUG
Molecule: ribosomal RNA, 371 nt
Filed under: uncultured organism
Description: bacterial SSU rRNA
Rfam family: Bacterial small subunit ribosomal RNA
Source: RNAcentral